UGUGAUUAUUCAAGGCUCUUAACUGCUCUUCACUAAAAUAACCCUGUGUCCAUUGAGUACAUUGAGGCAGAUGAUUUUGGAAUAAAAAGCAAACAAAAUAGAAACAAACCACCUCAUCUAUUGUAAAUGAAUCUCUUUAAAUGGGGUCAAAAUACAACAGAAUUUAGUUCACUUUAAGGAUGUAACAAUAUAAAAAUUGAGAUUAAUGUACUCAGCUUAUCACAUAACAAAUAUUUUCAAAUGACUUAAACAGUUUACUAAUCUUUGUGACAAGUUUACCUAGGGCAGGGCUUCCCUGGUGGCACAGUGGUUAAGAAUUAGCCUGCCAAGGCAGGGGACAUGGGUUCAAGCCCUGGUCCAGGAAGAUCCCACAUGCCACAGAGCAGCUAAGCCUGUGCACCACAACUACUGAGCCUGUGCUCUAGAACCCAUGAGCCACAACUACUGAGCCUGUGUGCCACAACUCCUGAGCCCGUGGGCCACAACUACUGAAGCCCUCAGGCCUAGAGCCCACACUCCGCAAUAAGAAGCCCAUGCACCGCAAAGAAAACCCAACGCAGCCAUAAAUGAAUGAAUGAAUGAAUAAAUAAAUAUGAAAAAUUUACCUAGGGCCAAAACAACCCUUACUUAUAAAUAUACUCUGAUAAUCAUAAUCAUCAACACUGACAUUAUAAAUGGUUAACAUCUGAAUGCCUAUUAUAUUUGAGAAAUAGAUCUAUGUGUGGGUAAUGUAUUAAUUCAUUUAAUCAUUACAAUAAUCCUAUGAGGUAGGUACUAUUCCUGUUUCCAUGUGGUAGAUGAUGAAACUGAGGUACAGACAGAAUAAAUAAUUUACAGAGGCAUAUAGGCAGGGGUUGACUCAAGGGGACACAUUCUUAUCCCCCUAUAGUAUAAUUUCAUUAACCCUGGAACAGUAGAUACAAUUUAAAACAAAUAUGUACUACAAGCACUUAGCUCUGCCUCUACAUUUCUCUCCCAAUCAUUUAGCAAACUGGUGUUUGAACGUCCUGGGAACCUCACCCAGUAUUAACAAAAAAAAAAAUCAACCAAAAAUAAAAUAAAUAGAAAUCCUGACAUAUAACCUACUAGACUGCUGCUGACUUACCCAUGUUAAUACCCUAAUCUAUACUGAGAAGGGAGAUUAUGAAAUCCCUGUGCCCUACAAAGGUCUUCCUAAAUAGGCAGUGUUUAGCUUAAACAUGAAUUAAAAAAACAAUAUGUGAUUUCAGAAGUUCCACAAUACUAAACACUGUCACUGAAAACAAGUCCUCUUAACAGGGUAUUUUAGAAAUUGAUGGCAAUUUUUCCCUCUGAGAAUGAUUCAGUGACUCUCAUAGAAUCACAUAAACUUAGAACCUUAGAGAUAAGCUACUCUCAGGCUUUCCCCUGGCAGAUGGCAGAAAGGAGGUCCGAGAGAGAAAUCACCUGUCCAGCUACACAGGGGCAGAGCCAGGUCUAGAACUUAGUCCUCCAACUCUCAUUCUGCCCCAUUUCUCCUUAUAAGUAAAUUUUAUAAAAGGAAACCAGAAUAACAUUUUGUUAAAUUUUAUGGAUGAAAUUAAAACUAUCUUCAUAAGCUUCAACAAACAUAAAGAGACAGAGGCAAAUAAUUUCUCAGGAGAGCAUAAUAAAGCCUUACAGACUUGUAGCAAGUAUACUCACAGGCUUGAAAAUCAGACUCACUUCCCACAGGGAGAAUCUGAGUUGUAACAUUUGGGAAUAUAAGGGAAUUCUGUUCAGAAUAGCACUGCUCACUCUCCGAGCAGAGUAUUCUUUAUUUUGAGGUCCCAUUAUUUAAGAAAGUUAAGAUUAUAUACAACAUUUAUUGUCAUCAAAUAAAUCAGAUUAAUCAAUAAACUGUUUUCCUAAAAUUUCCCCUCCUCCCUAUUUUGCAAACUAAUCCUAGAAUUUGCAUUAAUUAGAUACCCAGGUGUCUAAAAAUUUAGGAAGUAGCCUACCUUAAUGUAUGAAAUGAUAUUCUAAUAAUAACAUUUACAUAGAACUUUGUUAACAGUACCCUUUACAUACAUUAUCCAAUUUGAUCCUAAAACAUCUUUUGUGCCCAUUUUAUAGCUCUUUUGUAUCCAGUUUGCUUAGCUAAUCAAUGGUUGAGCCAUGAUCUAAAGCCUAUGCUAUUUGUAACACAUUUUUGUGCUUCUGAAACUUUUCCACCUAAGUAUCCUUAAGGUAGAGGAUUAUGAAAUAAACUCUACGUAGGAUCUGAGAAAGAGCUGAGAACAUGGAAACUGAGACAGUGCUCUGAAGAAGUAGAAAUGUAGCACCCUGGUUUGGUACAUCACUGAGGACCCCAUCACUGAGGUACACAUCCCUUGGAGAAACACAGCAUUUCAAAACAGUGCUUCCUGUAGUGGCCAGAUGAGUGACUAUAGCUUUCCACCUUGAAGGAUGAAGAUUAGCCUCACUGUAGGCCAGCUUAUUCUCUCACCUCAAGAACAUGGAGUUAAACAAUGAAGAAAAUCAUGAGAUCCACCUCCUAGAGUAAUGGAAAUAAAAACAAAAAUAAACAAAUGGGACCUAAUGAAACUUAAAAGCUUUUCCAAAGCAAAGGAAACUACAAUCAAGACGAAAAGACAACCCUCAGAAUGGGAGAAAAUAUUUGCAAACAAAUCAACGGACAAAGGAUUAAUCUCCAAAAUAUAUAAACAGCUCAUGCAGCUCAAUAUUAAAGAAACAAGCAACCCAAUCCAAAAAUGGGCAGAAGACCUAAAUAGACAUUUCUCCAAAGAAGACAUACAGAUGGCCAAGAAGCACAUGAAAAGCUGCUCAACAUCACUAAUUAUUAGAGAGCUGCAAAUCAAAACUACAAUGAGGUAUCACCUCACACCAGUUAGAAUGGGCAUCAUCAGAAAAUCUACAAACAACAAAUGCUGGAGAGGGUGUGGAGAAAAGGGAACCCUCUUGCACUGUUGGUGGGAAUGUAAACUCAUACAGCCACUAUGGAGAACAGUAUGGAGGUUCCUUAAAAAACUAAAAAUAGAACUACCAUGCAACUCAGCAAUCCCAUUACUAGGCAUAUACCCAGAGAAAACCAUAAUUCAAAAAGACACAUGCACCCCAAUGUUCAUUGCAGCACUAUUUACAAUAGCCAGGUCAUGGAAGCAACCUAAAUGCCCAUCGACAGAUGAAUGGAUAAAGAAGAUGUGGCACAUAUAUACAAUGGAAUAUUACUCAGCCAUAAAAAGGAAUGAAAUUGGGUCAUUUGUAGAGACGUGGAUGGAUCUAGAGACUGUCAUACAGAGUGAAGCAAGUCAGAAAGAGAAAAACAAAUAUCGUAUAUUAACGCAUAUAUGUGGAACCUAGAAAAAUGGUACAGAUGAACUGGUUUGCAGGGUAGAAAUUGAGACACAGAUGUAGACAACAAACGUAUGGACAUCAAGGGGGGAAAGCGACGAGGUGGUGGUGGUGGUGUGAUGAAUCGGGAGAUUGGGAUUAACAUGUAUACACUUAUGUGUAUAAAACUGAUGACUAAUAAGGACCUGCUGUAUAAAAAAUAAAAUAAAAUUUUAAAAAAAUAAAGAAAAUCAUGAAGAAAUGCAGAACAUAAAAUUUUCUGCAAUAAAAAAGGUAGAUAAAAAAAGUAAAAUUUCACAUCCUUUAAGCAUAAAACACUAUAAUUUUUAUUUUUCAAAUUGAUGCCACAGGGAAAAUAAGCUCUAGUUCCAGGUAUAAAAACAUAAAGAUCAACAACUACAACAGCAAAAAUGCAAGUUCUAUAAUGUAGAUAAGGACACAGAGGAAAGAGAAUGACAAACAGCUUGGGGAGAAUAAUUUGAUAGUUCUUUCCCUUGUUGCUUUUUUUACUCUAAUACCAAAAAUUGAUGCUACAAAUACUUUAGUACUAAAGCUUACGGGCCAGUUUAAUUAAGACUUCUGAAAAGUGCUGUAGGUAUGUAAUGUUUAAUUGCCUAAGACAAUUUGUGAGGAUCUAAAAGCUCAUUAUGUUGAAUAAAGAUGUGAUAUUUUGGGGCCAAUUCAAUGCUUAUCUGUUUACCUAUGUAAUUUUUUUUUCAAAUCAGAAAAAAUUCAGAAUUAGGAAAAAAAAUCUAUUACUCAAAAUAAAGACAAUUCACCCAGUUAGAAGCCUCUAAAACUCUGAAAAAAAGAUCUUGUAAAUACAACUCAUUUUACCUUCAUG
This is a long non-coding RNA of Orcinus orca (killer whale), 4156 nucleotides long. RefSeq lists it as uncharacterized. The transcript has 3 exons. The record is from RefSeq and is a predicted model, not a curated record. NCBI's taxonomy places the organism in Eukaryota, Metazoa, Chordata, Mammalia, Artiodactyla, Delphinidae.